RNAcentral lists this ribosomal RNA (207 nucleotides) under uncultured Latescibacterota bacterium. RNAcentral describes it as "uncultured Latescibacteria bacterium partial 16S ribosomal RNA". It matches the Rfam family "Bacterial small subunit ribosomal RNA", at positions 568 to 774 of the family's 1533-position model. Lineage: Bacteria; Pseudomonadati; Candidatus Latescibacterota. The record is from RNAcentral.
CGUGUAGGCGGUCAGGUAAGUGGAAUGUGAAAUGCCCCGGCUCACCCGGGGACCGGCAUCCCAAACUGCCUGGCCUGAGUAUGGGAGAGGAUGGAGGAAUUCCUGGUGUAGCGGUGAAAUGCGUAGAUAUCAGGAGGAACACCGGUGGCGAAGGCGUCCAUCUGGCCCAAUACUGACGCUGAGGCGCGAAAGCUAGGGGAGCAAACG